AACAAAUACUGAAAAAAAUUUGAAAAUCACAUAGCCAGUAUUGAUUAAGUUACUGUUAGGUUAUUGACAGAAAUAGACCGUUUCUAAACUACUUGCAUUCGAAAUGAUUCAUUUUUUCAAUACUUGAGAUCAUUUGGCGUUUUUUAAAAACAUAUAAAUGCAUAAAAUCGCGUUCGAAGCACCCCGUUCGUGUUAAAAAAUUGAUGAAACAAAAUUUGCAAUAGAAUAAGAAUCGAACAUUUUUCUUCAAUAUCAAGAAACGAGUAUAAAUAUAGUAUUAUUAAAGCGUAUUAGUGUUUUACUAUGUUUCUUGAUAUAAACUUUUAUGUGCGUCGGUAGGUCAACUGAACAGAUAAAAGUACUGAAAGCUGAAAGUGAAUUUUUGCAAUCGCUGAAGACUUGAGCACACCGCACGGCACGAGUUUCAACUGCGUUUUGCAGGUUCAGGAAUUGCCUCAUUGCUGCUCACAGUCGUCGGUUGCGGUCACAUUUAGUCGUAGAAGCGCUUGUCGUAAAACAUUUCUCCGAACCCGGACAUGCAAAUGAGACAUAGCAGAUGACACGCAAUAUGAGCAGAGUUCAAAAUCGUACUUCACAAGAGAUUGUUUCAAAUGUUCUCGAAGUCUCUAGUAAAGUCUGUCUGGUUUUUAUUUAACCUCCACAGAGCAAAGUAUUACUCAGGGCAAACUUAGUUCCUGAUUCAAAAACAAAGAAACCCAACGUGGAGUAACUUUUAUGUGAAACGUUUGGAUCAUUUUUACAAAUCCUGCGCCAAAAAACGAACCCGCCACCGCUCUGACUAAAAAAAGCAAUUAUCCAGUUAGGGUUUGGCUUGGGGUUAGGAAUGCUGAUUACUCCGGAAAUUAAAACUUUUAAAUCAUUUAUAACCCUAACUUUACGAAUGAUUUGCUAAUUUGUUCUUUUAAAACUUAGCGGGGUGUUUGUCUCAAAUCUCGCAUUUUCCCAUUAUUGUCAGGGUCUUGGUAUAAAAGAAUCGAAUAAUUAUGUGCUAAAUAAUGAUUUUCAUUGCACUAGUUCGUUAAGUGUAAUUGUUUGAACUUGUUAUUUAGACACAGUUAUGUUGAACGACAGCUCUCCUAUAAGGACUCAGUUCAGUUCUGGAUAUAAUGACGCAUUACGUUACGCAAUGGACGAAAAUCGUCUGACGCAGUGUCCCAUAACAGUAUUUCGACAGUUUUCGAUUAAUCACUGUAAUUAGCAAAUUGAUAGCAAUCAGCUCGGAUGCAUUGUCACUGUCUAGCUUAAUGUUCAUUGUUAGUGUCUUCGGAGACGUUUCUGAUGUUUAGUAUUGGUUUUAGUAUUACUAAUUUUGCAGUUAGAAAUACCAAUUUGGAUUGAAGUCAGAUUCGGGGUUAAAUGCGAAGUGCCCGAUUGUAAUUAAUAUAUAGUUUUUGACUGCAGGUUGGGGCUGUAUUAUAGGUAUAUCAGGUAAAUACCAGCGGCUUUUAGAUUUUAGUAAUGCAAGAUACAUUGAGUUCACUUUGGAUAAAACUUUAUUGGAUAGUGUCACCUGGGGAUCUAAAACAUGGGGUUUCGUUCGAGAUGUCGACGUUCCUGAUUUUGUUUCAAGUACCAUCGUAUGAAGUGUUAUGAAAGAAUAAAACCGAUUUUAAGUUGGAUUCAAUUGCGGCAAAACUUUGAGGCAAAGAAAG
Non-coding RNA from Styela clava, 1673 nucleotides. NCBI's taxonomy places the organism in Eukaryota, Metazoa, Chordata, Ascidiacea, Stolidobranchia, Styelidae. The record is from RefSeq and is a predicted model, not a curated record.